This 719-nucleotide ribosomal RNA is filed under the name bacterium SVAL1.36. Its description in RNAcentral is "bacterial SSU rRNA". It matches the Rfam family "Bacterial small subunit ribosomal RNA", at positions 60 to 771 of the family's 1533-position model. The record is from RNAcentral.
AGUCGAGGGGUACAGUCCCGCCUUCGGGCGGGAGCUGACGACCGGCGCACGGGUGCGUAACGCGUAUACAAUCUACCUUAUAGAGGGGGAUAGCCCAGAGAAAUUUGGAUUAAUACCCCAUAGUACUUAGAGACAGCAUUGUCUUUUUGUUAAACAUUUAUGGCUAUAAGAUGAGUAUGCGUCCUAUUAGUUAGUUGGUAAGGUAACGGCUUACCAAGACCGCGAUAGGUAGGGGUCCUGAGAGGGAGAUCCCCCACACUGGUACUGAGACACGGACCAGACUCCUACGGGAGGCAGCAGUGAGGAAUAUUGGACAAUGGGCGAGAGCCUGAUCCAGCCAUGCCGCGUGCAGGAAGACGGCCCUAUGGGUUGUAAACUGCUUUUAUACAGGAAGAAACACUCCCUCGUGAGGGAGCUUGACGGUACUGUAAGAAUAAGGAUCGGCUAACUCCGUGCCAGCAGCCGCGGUAAUACGGAGGAUCCAAGCGUUAUCCGGAAUCAUUGGGUUUAAAGGGUCCGUAGGCGGGACAAUAAGUCAGCGGUGAAAGUCUGUGGCUCAACCAUAGAAUUGCCAUUGAUACUGUUGUUCUUGAGUGUUUAUGAAGUGGUUAGAAUAUGUAGUGUAGCGGUGAAAUGCUUAGAUAUUACAUGGAAUACCGAUUGCGAAGGCAGAUCACUAAUAAAAUACUGACGCUGAUGGACGAAAGCGUAGGUAGCGA